Molecule: non-coding RNA, 100 nt
Organism: Amborella trichopoda
Lineage: Eukaryota; Viridiplantae; Streptophyta; Magnoliopsida; Amborellales; Amborellaceae
Source: Rfam
CAGAAAUGGGGGCUGCUUUGAGGACAAAGAAAGCGUUUCGGAUCAUCUUAUCGAUCAGUGAAGCAAUCAUCCUUUGUAUUGAAGGGAGCUCCUAAUUUUU